Regulatory RNA element from Natronococcus occultus SP4, 100 nucleotides. It matches the Rfam family "L4-Archaeoglobi ribosomal protein leades". NCBI's taxonomy places the organism in Archaea, Methanobacteriati, Methanobacteriota, Halobacteria, Halobacteriales, Natrialbaceae. The record is from Rfam.
CUGAUCAACGCGUGCGGGUCAAUUGCGGCUUGCAACACCCGAUCUCCCUCAACGUGCCUCCCUCGAUGGAGCUCGAAGAGGGGGAGCGCGUGACCGUCAG